RNAcentral lists this non-coding RNA (27 nucleotides) under Rattus norvegicus (Norway rat). The record is from RNAcentral. Lineage: Eukaryota; Metazoa; Chordata; Mammalia; Rodentia; Muridae.
UAUCUGGGGAAAAAUCAUGGUGUCAGU